UCGUCUUUUAUAUCAAAUUCAAUGUCUCUCACCACGUGUAACUUAUUUCCAUAUAUCUAUAUGUUAGGACUUAGGAUCUCAAAAUCCGUGACGCAUCGAUAUCAUGCGUAGUCUUAUUCAAUCCAAUUGAAUCUGUAGUCGUUGUUGGUAGGGAGAAAGUAAACGCUUCACACUAUGGUAUUCAUGUGUGUUUAGAUUUAUUGAUAAGGUAUUUAGUACAAAAAAUUUAAGGUUAAAGCCCUCUGUAUUAUCGUUGUAAAUGAAGAAUAAUGGGUUUAAACUUCUUUACGGUAAAAAGCGAAAAUAUUUUUCGCUUGUGCAUAGUAAGUUAUUUUGUUUUACCUAUAGUGCCGAUUGAAAGCGAACCGCAAUAUAAUGAUAAAUUUGAAAUUAUGACGUCGAUGAUACCCAAGGAUGAAAUGUUAACACAAAAUAAGGAUAACCUAAGCUUUAUACAUGCACUUAUAGCUUCUUUGUCAGUAAUUGUUGUCUCUGAGUUAGGAGACAAAACAUUUUUUAUUGCUGCUAUAAUGGCAAUGAAACAUCCACGACUGACAGUUUUUGUUGGGGCAAUAAGUGCUUUAGCUCUCAUGACUAUUCUUUCAGUGAUUUUUGGAUAUGCUGCAACUAUAAUUCCACGUGCAUAUACGUAUUACAUUUCUACUGCUCUUUUUGCUUUGUUCGGUUUGAAAAUGUUACGAGAUGGUUAUAAAAUGUCUGUGACAGAAGCACAAGAGGAAUUAGAAGAAGUACAAACUGAUUUAAGGAAACGAGAUGAUGAGUAUGAAAAGGAAACAGGAAGUAUAUCAAUACAGGAUCCAGAGACUGGUGUUAUAAGAAAAACUGCAAAAAUUAGUGCAUUAAUGCUUUUAUCUAGGAUAUUCCUUCAAGCGUUUACAUUAACAUUUGUUGCAGAAUGGGGAGACCGUUCACAACUUACCACUAUUAUACUUGCAGCAAGAGAGGAUGUUUAUGGAGUUGUAGUAGGUGGAAUAUUAGGACAUAUGUUUUGUACAGGAUUAGCAGUAUUAGGAGGUAGAAUGAUAGCUCAGAAAAUUUCAGUACGAACAGUGACCAUAAUUGGCGGAUUAGUGUUUCUACUGUUUGCUUUUACAGCACUUUUUAUCAGCCCUUCGGAAGAUAUAUGAAACCACAGACAGUAUUUACCUACAGUGUGUAACAAAAAACAAUGAGGCAAUUCAGUACAAAAAGAAACACGUAACUUACUGGAACUUUCAAUCCCUGUAGGUUGAGAAAUGUUUAAUGGAACCAUACUUCAUUUAAGUGCUUUGAAAAGCUCUUGAGAUAAGCCACAAUAAUAUGCAAUAAAAAAUGGAGAAUUUCACUUAACCAGUUAAGUGUGUUUGACGACUAUAUCCGUCAUGGAAAUGUA
Molecule: unclassified non-coding RNA, 1393 nt
Filed under: Megachile rotundata (alfalfa leafcutting bee)
Lineage: Eukaryota; Metazoa; Arthropoda; Insecta; Hymenoptera; Megachilidae
Description: transmembrane protein 165, transcript variant X3
Source: RNAcentral